RNAcentral lists this ribosomal RNA (253 nucleotides) under uncultured bacterium. RNAcentral describes it as "partial 16S ribosomal RNA". It matches the Rfam family "Bacterial small subunit ribosomal RNA", at positions 524 to 776 of the family's 1533-position model. The record is from RNAcentral.
UACGGGGGGAGCAAGCGUUGUUCGGAUUUACUGGGCGUAAAGGGCGCGUAGGCGGCGCAACAAGUCACUUGUGAAAUCUCCGGGCUUAACCCGGAGCGGCCAAGUGAUACUGUCGUGCUAGAGUGCGGAAGGGGCUACUGGAAUUCUCGGUGUAGCGGUGAAAUGCGUAGAUAUCGAGAGGAACACCUGCGGCGAAGGCGGGUAGCUGGGCCGACACUGACGCUGAUGCGCGAAAGCUAGGGUAGCAAACGGG